Molecule: long non-coding RNA, 833 nt
Filed under: Fukomys damarensis (Damara mole-rat)
Lineage: Eukaryota; Metazoa; Chordata; Mammalia; Rodentia; Bathyergidae
Description: lncRNA (ENSFDAG00000026095.1)
Source: RNAcentral
UGGGCAGGGUGGACGAAGGCUCACUGUGAUGUCUUUUUUAGGCACAAGUUGCCAUAAACAUUUUGAAUCAAUUCAGGACGUCGAAGCAGCACUAAAAAGACACCAAGAGGACUGCACACCUGCUUCAGAAGGUGGUAAGAAUGAUGGGCAUCCAGUAGACGGAAUUUUAGAGACCCGCUGUGCCUGGCCUCCUAAGGAAAAGCGUCGACACGUGGCUUUAUCGAAGUUACCCAAGUCUGGCAGAAGUCGGGGAGGAGGAGUGACUCCCAUGUUACAGGUGAGGGAGGAAUUUGAGCAGGUAGGGAGCUGGCGGCUCCCUGAUGCGCUCGCGCUCGGUACAUCAGCGUCCUCACAGUAAAAAGAUGUUCAGUAUCCUUCCGUGUAAAAUAUUCUCCCAGCGUUAGCUAACUAAUCCUCACCAUCGCGAAGCAAAACUCAAGAUGAUUCUCCAUGGUACAGAAAUACAACUGUGUCCUCGAUGCGAGACCCGGCCACAAGUCCUCCUGAGGCUCCCUUCCAAUCCAGUGAGGUGAGCGGUAUCUGCGGGGUCGCUGCCAGCCCUUCCCGCAGGGGUCAUUAAAGGUGGCGCUGUGGUCCGGAUUCGAGAAGGUCUCCUGGUUUGUGUUACACUGUGGGAGAAGAAUCAGCCAGGAAACGCGUCGCCCAGUUUCCUGGGAGCGCGGAAGGCUGCUGAAAGGCCCUGGGGAGAGGCCGGGCAGGGCUUCUGCACAGUAGCAGGGCCUGACCUCCCUGAGGCUCCUGCAGCCUGGGGGGCCCGGGGGCUGCUCCUGGCGUGGGCUGAUUGCCGCAGCCCCCAACGCAGCUGUCUGUGG